UACGACUACAUAUCAGGCAUAUCAAUAAGCGGAGGAAAAGAAACUAACAAGGAUUCCCCUUAGUAACGGCGAGUGAAGCGGGAAGAGCUCAAAUUUGAAAUCUUCAAGGGUUUACCUUUACGAAUUGUAGUUUAAAGAAGUGUUUUCUGUUGGAGUUUCGGUAAAAGUUCUUUGGAAUAGGACAUCAUAGAGGGUGAGAAUCCCGUAUUUGACCGUUACUUUCCAGCUGUGUGAUACACUUUCAAAGAGUCGGAUUGUUUGGGAAUGCAGUCCAAGAUGGGUGGUAAAUUUCAUCUAAAGCUAAAUAUUGGCGAGAGACCGAUAGCGAACAAGUACCGUGAGGGAAAGAUGAAAAGAACUUUGAAAAGAGAGUUAAACAGUACGUGAAAUUGUCAAAAGGGAAGCGUUUGACACCAGUGUUGUUUUUUCGAAAAUCAAUUAAGAAGGGCUUGAUUUUGUGUUGUAUUGACCUUAUCAGCUUUCUUCACUCUUUUUCGAGUCUUUCUUAAUGCACUUUUCGGUUAACAAGUCAACAUCAAUUUCUUUUGUUGUAAAAGGGUAUUUGGAAGGUGGCUUUCUUUUCGGAGAAAGUGUUUAUAGCCUUAUACCUCUACAAUCGGAGAGAUUGAGGUCUGCAGCGUAGAUCCUUCGGGGCUAGAUACACUUGUGCUAAGUUAUAGCUUUUCAUAGACAACUUGUUGACUAUGUUUAGUCAUGUAGCUUACCCGCUUGUGCUAUUUUACCUACGCUUAGGAUGUUGAUCUACAGAGCGAGAGU
RNAcentral lists this ribosomal RNA (777 nucleotides) under uncultured Neocallimastigales. RNAcentral's name for it is "partial large subunit ribosomal RNA". It matches the Rfam family "Eukaryotic large subunit ribosomal RNA", at positions 24 to 631 of the family's 3401-position model. The record is from RNAcentral. Lineage: Eukaryota; Fungi; Neocallimastigomycota; Neocallimastigomycetes; Neocallimastigales.